Molecule: ribosomal RNA, 253 nt
Filed under: uncultured bacterium
Lineage: Bacteria
Description: partial 16S ribosomal RNA
Rfam family: Bacterial small subunit ribosomal RNA
Source: RNAcentral
UACGUAGGGAGCAAGCGUUGUUCGGAUUUACUGGGCGUAAAGGGCGCGUAGGCGGCGCGGUAAGUCACUUGUGAAAUCUCUGAGCUUAACUCAGAACGGCCAAGUGAUACUGCAGUGCUAGAGUGCAGAAAGGGCAAUCGGAAUUCUUGGUGUAGCGGUGAAAUGCGUAGAUAUCAAGAGGAACACCUGCGGCGAAGGCGGGUUGCUGGGCCGACACUGACGCUGAGGCGCGAAAGCUAGGGGAGCGAACGGG